CGGAUUGAAGGCUGAAAUUACGCCUUCAUGAAGCUGGAAUUGCUAGUAAUGGCAGGUCAGCAUACUGCCGUGAAUACGUUCCCGGGCCCUUGUACACACCGCCCGUCACACCAUGAGAGUUGGAAAUACCCGAAGCCUGUGAGCUAACUUAAAGAGGCAGCAGUCGAAGGUAGAGCCAAUGAUUGGGGUGAAGUCGUAACAAGGUAAC
RNAcentral lists this ribosomal RNA (208 nucleotides) under uncultured bacterium. Its description in RNAcentral is "partial 16S ribosomal RNA". It matches the Rfam family "Bacterial small subunit ribosomal RNA", at positions 1294 to 1500 of the family's 1533-position model. The record is from RNAcentral.